This 331-nucleotide long non-coding RNA is filed under the name Hordeum vulgare. RNAcentral describes it as "long non-coding RNA (HVUL_LNC016573)". Lineage: Eukaryota; Viridiplantae; Streptophyta; Magnoliopsida; Poales; Poaceae. The record is from RNAcentral.
ACCUUUUGCUAGUGAUGUAACAACAAGCAGAAACGCCUUACUUUUUGGCACUUUGUAUGUGACCCCAGAAGAUGAAAUAAUCUAGCAGUAGUAAAAAGCCAACAUCAUCAGUUUACACAGAUCUAGGGGUAUCUAUCUGCAAACGGAUGUGGGGGACAAGCAUGAAAAGGUGAAGAGAAAGAAGACGCAGUAAAAAAAGCAGAUCUGAGAGAACCAACUUUACAUGAAAAGGUGAAGAGAAAGAAGGGCAGCCCAAAGAAAAACCAAAACUUUACACCAGCCGACCUGCCCUGCCUCUAAAUAAAACAGGCUCUCCCCUGCACUUAUCAGC